UACGGGGGGGGCAAGCGUGGUUCGGAAUUACGGGGGGUAAAGGGCGCGUAGGCGGCUUUUCAAGUCGGGCGUGAAAUCUCCGGGCUUAACCCGGAAGGGUCGUUCGAUACUGUUGAGCUAGAGUGUGGAAGAGGCAACUAGAAUUCCGUGUGUAGCGGUGAAAUGCGUAGAUAUACGGAGGAAUACCUGAGGCGAAGGCGGGUUGCUGGGCCAACACUGACGCUGAGGCGCGAAAGCCAGGGGAGCAAACGGG
Molecule: ribosomal RNA, 253 nt
Filed under: uncultured bacterium
Lineage: Bacteria
Description: partial 16S ribosomal RNA
Rfam family: Bacterial small subunit ribosomal RNA
Source: RNAcentral